This 264-nucleotide ribosomal RNA is filed under the name uncultured bacterium. RNAcentral describes it as "partial 16S ribosomal RNA". It matches the Rfam family "Bacterial small subunit ribosomal RNA", at positions 793 to 1055 of the family's 1533-position model. The record is from RNAcentral.
GUCCACGCCCUAAACGAUGCAUAUUUGGUGUGGGCAGUUCAUUCUGUCCGUGCCGGAGCUAACGCGUUAAAUAUGCCGCCUGGGGAGUACAGUCGCAAGGCUGAAACUCAAAGGAAUUGACGGGGGGCCCGCACAAGCGGUGGAGCAUGUGGUUCAAUUCGACGCAACGCGAAGAACCUUACCUGGGCUCGAACGGCUGGUCAACGGAGGUGGAAACACUUUUACCCCGCAAGGGGUCCAGUCGAGGUGCUGCAUGGCUGUCGU